GAUGGACGCUGGCGGCGUGCCUAAUACAUGCAAGUCGAGCGAACGGACGAGAAGCUUGCUUCUCUGACGUUAGCGGCGGACGGGUGAGUGACACGUGGAUAACCUACCUAUAAGACUGGGAUAACUUCGGGAAACCGUAGCUAAUACCGGAUAAUAUUUUGAACCGCAUGGUUCAAAAGUGAAAGACGGUCUUGCUGUCACUUAUAGAUGGAUCCGCGCUGCAUUAGCUAGUUGGUAAGGUAACGGCUUACCAAGGCAACGAUGCAUAGCCGACCUGAGAGGGUGAUCGGCCACACUGGAACUGAGACACGGUCCAGACUCCUACGGGAGGCAGCAGUAGGGAAUCUUCCGCAAUGGGCGAAAGCCUGACGGAGCAACGCCGCGUGAGUGAUGAAGGUCUUCGGAUCGUAAAACUCUGUUAUUAGGGAAGAACAUAUGUGUAAGUAACUGUGCACAUCUUGACGGUACCUAAUCAGAAAGCCACGGCUAACUACGUG
This 497-nucleotide ribosomal RNA is filed under the name uncultured bacterium. RNAcentral's name for it is "partial 16S ribosomal RNA". It matches the Rfam family "Bacterial small subunit ribosomal RNA", at positions 28 to 507 of the family's 1533-position model. The record is from RNAcentral.